RNAcentral lists this long non-coding RNA (331 nucleotides) under Gallus gallus (chicken). The record is from RNAcentral. Lineage: Eukaryota; Metazoa; Chordata; Aves; Galliformes; Phasianidae.
CUUUAUCUGAUAUGUCCCAUCUUGAAGGUUUCUUUGGUUUGCUCACACUGUUACCCUCUUGUUUUCUUUCAUUUGUUUCUUGUGUUCCAGAUGUAGUAGGCUCUGACAGAGUUAAGAAAUUAAAUACAGAAUACUUGUCUCUCUUCACUUUUGGUAAACCAACGAUGGAAGACUCGGGAUAUGGAUCAGGAACAUUAAAUCUUUUGCACAACAGCUUUUCAGGGUGCCAUUCAAACUUGUCUCUUGUGAGUUUGCCAAACAUCUUCAUCUUCACAGCAGAUUCCUUAUCAUCAAUAUCAUUCUCCUGGUCCCGAGGAACUUCAACUUUGUC